CCAAGCAAAAGUGCAUCAGUCAAAAUGCCCAAAAACCCUUCCGCUACUAUGAAUUUUCCAUCUACUCAAAGCCCUUCCGCUACUCUUUCUCCGUUCAAAACCCUUCCGCUACUCUUUCUCCGUUCAUUCUCGGCCAUGAAUCCCGCAUAGUUGCCAAAAUCUAAGGUUAAGCUACCAGAGCACCCAAGUUCUAUUGUCGCCAAGGUACUUUUCUUUUGAUCAUGUUUACACCCACUUGUUGUUCCUAGUAGGGAAGAAAUGAACCUGACUUAGCUUCUCGAGCGACGAGUACAACCUUUGCAUCAAGAGAUCGAAGAAUUGCGGGAGCUAGUAAAAGUCCUCCGUCAGCAAGUUCAAGAGUGUAGAAGAAGUGGCUAGUAGUAUUUGAACUAAAUUGUGGAAACUAGUAGUAUUUGAACUUAAUAUGUGAUUUGAUUGAAUUGAAGUGUGAAACAAUAUUUUGUAUCUAUGUAAAAUUUGAAUUUUCUUCA
Molecule: long non-coding RNA, 491 nt
Organism: Salvia splendens (bonfire salvia)
Lineage: Eukaryota; Viridiplantae; Streptophyta; Magnoliopsida; Lamiales; Lamiaceae
Exons: 2
Source: RefSeq, a predicted model, not a curated record